UUAAACCCGGCCAGACCUGGCUUUAGAAAAUUUAUAAGCUGACCUCCAUUUUGGCUGUUUCGAGAGUAAAUUAACAACAACAAAAAAAGCCUAACAUGUACACAGCCCUUCGCCCCAACCCCUGGGACCGCUGGUUCCCAGUCGUGCUGCUCACCCCCCGCCCCCCACGCCUGACACACGCUCCCCUUCCCGCACGCCGGGGGGCGCCCGGGGCACCGAAGUCUACACUGGGUCGGGAGACCGGUCUAGGAGCCAGCCGGCAGUGCUCGGGAUCUUUGCUGAUGUCCAAGUUCAUCUCUCGGGGAGACCGAGUUUGAAUCAAAUCUGCGUGCGCCCAGCUGUCAAAUCUGCAAACCUAUCACGCCAGACAAUGGGCCGCCGCGGAGGACAGACAAGAAUGGCUCAUUUUGAUCGAGGGGGGUAAAUUGAAAAGGGCACGGGCUUUGGUUGAAGUUUGAGGCCCGGGUGUCAGGGCGGGGAGAAGAAGAGGAGGAAGGAGGAGGGUUGGGCCGCUCUCCAUUCAACCACACAUCAGCCAGGCGCGCCCCUCGGCUGCAGCGGCUGCUUGCAGGCGGGCUGCAUAUUGUGUGGAGUCGCCAAAGAGGGUCUGCGCCUCGGGGCGCGCCCCAAACCCGGGGGACAUCCUACGGAUCCGCACUUCUCUUGUGCUGUACGCGUGUUCCUCCAGGGUAAGUAUGAGGAGACGGACGCCCUCAUCAGACACCCCUCCUCCAACACACACACACCCAUAGCCACAUCAUUCAGGGAUACUCUAGUUCAGUGUAUCAGUUUACACUUGGUUGUUGAGUAAACAAAGCAAACAUAUGUCACAUUUUCGCGACAGAUGGUUCAAACCAAGGGCUACUUAAGUUCUCUCUCUCUAACAGUCUAAGUUACAGGCUGAACUAAGCAGAAAUGUAAUUAAGUCAUCUGAUCAGUUUCUUCGACUUAAAAUGUUUUCCCAUAUUUUCACAAACAAGCCAGAUAAAUCCUGGGGAUGUGGUUUCAAGGAAAGGAGGGCUGAAUAUGAACUAAGACUUUGUGUGAAGACUCCGUUUCUCCCCGGUCACCCCAAACAGAAAAUCCUCUUUCAUUGUUCCAUUUCGUAAGUGGAGGAGAAUGUCUUCUUUUGGAAAAUCAGUAAUUGGAAUUUCAAUUUUCAAUAGAGGGACUAGUGCUUACCGGUGCUGAUUACUUGGGAUAGUUGGAUUACAAUGAGGUUUAAGACAUCAUCCACAUCUUUUGUAAAUGUUCUUUGUUUAGAAAUGACUUCAUGUUACCCUAUAUAUUCCACGGAAUUCUUUUGAAUCAAAUUUUAACAGGGUGGGGGAAGGGUGAACUAAAAGCUCUCCCAGUGUAGAAUAUGGGACUUCUUUUUAAAAUACAGAUGAUCUCCAACUUAUGAUGCUUCUACUUAUAUUUUUAGACUUUACCAUGGUGCAAAAGCCAUAUACAUUCAGUAGAAACUGUAUUUUGACUAUGGACCAUACAAUCAUUCUAUUUUUCACUGUCAGGUUAGUAUUGAAUAAGUUUCAUGAGAUAGUCAACACUUUACUAUAAAAUAGCUUUGUGUUAGAUAAUUUUCCCCAACUGCCGGCUAAUGUAAGUGUUUUGAGCAUGUUUAAGGUAGGCUAGGCUAGGCUGUGAUGCUUGGUAGUUUAAGUGUAUUAAAUGCAUUUUCAACCUAUGAUGUUCUCAACUUUUGAUGAGUUUAUCAGAGCAUAAGCCUCAUUGGAAGUCAAGGAUCAUCUGUAUUUUUAGCUUCAAUAAUGUAUUUCUGAACCAUUCACUCACACUUGUCCUUAUUAAGUUUGUGCUGCUGAUGAAUACAGAGCUUUGUUUUUAAAAAGGUAACAAUAAACCCCCAGAGGCUGUAACUGUGUUGUCCAAUACAAUAGUCACUAGCCAUGUGGCUAUGUCAAUGAAAUUAAUUAAAAUUAAAUAAAAGAAAAAUGCAGUUCCUCAGUAGCAUUAACCAUAUUUCAAGUGCUCAAUAGCUACAUGUGGCUGGUGGCUACCAUAUUGGACAACACAGAUAUAGAUCAUUUCCAUCAUUGCAGCAAGCUCUACUGGACAGCACUACCCUAUAAUGUUGGUGUGGAAUUAGUUAAUGUGGUAUAUACACAUAUAUAAAGUUUUUAGAAUAGUAGAAUAGUGCAUAGAGUGCUUACUUCAUAAGCAGCAGCAGUACUGGGGGUUGUAGUUGGAAGGAUAAUGAUGAUGAUGAUGAUGAUGAUGAUGAUGAUGCCUUGUUAGUCUCUUGUAGAAGUCAAAGAAUCGAUGAAGACACAGCCCACUUCUGGUAUGUCAGGAUGAGAUCAGCAGGCAAAGAAGCCAGGGAGUAGGAGAAUCUAUAUGUCAAAAGCUGAUCUUCCAAGGAAAGCUGUGAACAGAAAGAUGUGGCCCAUACUGUAGCCUAAGACUUCCCGUAGUAGGAGCUAAUAAAAAUAAUAAUUAAAAAAAUCACUGCUUUACAACUACAUCCAUUAACUUUUUUUUUUCUUUUUUUCUUCUUUUUUUUGAGACAGAGUCUCGAGCUGUCGCCUGGGCUGGAGUGCAGUGGCAUGAUCUCAGCUCACUGCAACCUCUGCCUCCUGGGUUCAAGCAAUUCUCCUGUCUCAACCUCCUAAGUAGCUGGGAUUACAGGCACCCACCACCACAACCAACUAAUUUUUUUGUAUUUUUAGUAGAGAUGGGAUUUCAGUAUGUUGGCCAGGCUGGUCUCAAACUCCUAACCUUGUGAUCCACCCACCUCAGCCUCCCAAAGUGCUGGGAUUACAGGCGUGAACCACCACGCCCGGCCUACAUCCACUAACUUCUAAAGCCAGUUAUGGUCAUGUGGCCAGAUCUGAUGAAUCAGAUGUGGCAGAAAGGAUGCGAAGAAGCUCUGAGCAGGUGCCCUCCCUCUACAUGUUCCCACCAUCCUGCGUCCUUGUGCUGCGCCGGACCAGGCAUGCAAGAACAACACACCAAGGAUGGCGGAGCAACAAGAUAGAAGAGGCCUGAGUCCCAGGAUGACUGCCUGGAGCACAGCUGUCUGCCUGCUCAGGGCCUUGUGUCACAUACUAUAAUGUGAGAGACAAAUAAACUUGUCAUAUUUAAGCCAGUA
Long non-coding RNA from Homo sapiens (human), 3109 nucleotides. RefSeq lists it as uncharacterized. The record is from RefSeq and is a predicted model, not a curated record. NCBI's taxonomy places the organism in Eukaryota, Metazoa, Chordata, Mammalia, Primates, Hominidae. The transcript is spliced from 2 exons.